UUCCAGACUCCUACGGGAGGCAGCAGUGGGGGAUAUUGCACAAUGGGGGGAACCCUGAUGCAGCGACGCCGCGUGGGUGAAGAAGCGCCUCGGCGCGUAAAGCCCUGUCAGCAGGGAAGAAAAUGACGGUACCUGAAGAAGAAGCCCCGGCUAACUACGUGCCAGCAGCCGCGGUAAUACGUAGGGAGCGAGCGUUGUCCGGAAUUACUGGGUGUAAAGGGAGCGUAGGCGGGACUGCAAGUUGGGUGUCAAAUCUACCGGCUCAACCGGUAGCCGCACUCAAAACUGCAGUUCUUGAGUGAAGUAGAGGCAGGCGGAAUUCCUAGUGUAGCGGUGAAAUGCGUAGAUAUUAGGAGGAACACCAGUGGCGAAGGCGGCCUGCUGGGCUUUUACUGACGCUGAGGCUCGAAAGUGUGGGGAGCAAACAGGAUUAGAUACCCGAGUAGG
This 447-nucleotide ribosomal RNA is filed under the name uncultured bacterium. Its description in RNAcentral is "bacterial SSU rRNA". It matches the Rfam family "Bacterial small subunit ribosomal RNA", at positions 329 to 794 of the family's 1533-position model. The record is from RNAcentral.